AUAUUGCACAAUGGGGGAAACCCUGAUGCAGCGACGCCGCGUGAGUGAAGAAGUAAUUCGUUAUGUAAAGCUCUAUCAGCAGGGAAGAAAGUGACGGUACCUGAGUAAGAAGCCCCGGCUAACUACGUGCCAGCAGCCGCGGUAAUACGUAGGGGGCAAGCGUUAUCCGGAUUUACUGGGUGUAAAGGGAGUGUAGACGGCGAUGCAAGUCUGAAGUGAAAGCCCGGUGCUCAACAUCGGGACUGCUUUGGAAACUGUAUAGCUGGAGUGCCGGAGAGGUAAGCGGAAUUCCUAGUGUAGCGGUGAAAUGCGUAGAUAUUAGGAAGAACACCAGUGGCGAAGGCGGCUUACUGGACGGUAACUGACGUUGAGGCUCGAAAGCGUGGGGAGCAAACAGG
This 398-nucleotide ribosomal RNA is filed under the name uncultured bacterium. RNAcentral's name for it is "bacterial SSU rRNA". It matches the Rfam family "Bacterial small subunit ribosomal RNA", at positions 361 to 776 of the family's 1533-position model. The record is from RNAcentral.